This 256-nucleotide long non-coding RNA is filed under the name Elaeis guineensis (African oil palm). Its description in RNAcentral is "long non-coding RNA (EGUI_LNC030568)". Lineage: Eukaryota; Viridiplantae; Streptophyta; Magnoliopsida; Arecales; Arecaceae. The record is from RNAcentral.
AGCACCUUAACUGAAUUGAUCGAUAUACUGGUAACUAAGGAACUUUGAAAAGUUCAGAGGUGCAUACUUGGAGAACCUAAAGAAAUAUUGACAUGCUUUUAGAAAGUAUGUCCAAUUACUCAAAAUUAAUCUUACGAUUUUUUCUUUUUCAUUAGACUCUAGUGCAUAUUAUGUACUUUAACAUAAGAUCUAAGGAAGAGGACCAAGGUAAGGUGAAAUGACUCUUUUGAGUCGACAAUGGUGCAAAAAUUACACU